UGGCUCUCGCAUCGAUGAAGAACGCAGCGAAAUGCGAUAAGUAAUGUGAAUUGCAGAAUUCAGUGAAUCAUCGAAUCUUUGAACGCACCUUGCGCUCCUUGGUAUUCCGAGGAGCAUGCCUGUUUGAGUGUCAUCAAGUUCUCAACCAUACCCUGGGUGUCUCCUGGGUGUGGCUUGGAUUUGGGGGGUUUUGCAGGCUUUCUUUGAAAGAACAAAGUCGGCUCCUCUGAAAAGCAUUAGUGGUGUCUGAGCUACCUUGGGUGUGAUUAACUAUCUAUGCCCUUGGUGUACAUGAACAGAUUGUGCUGCUUCUGAACUUGCGUCUUGCGCAUUUGACAAAUUUGACCUCAAAUCAGGUAGGAUUACCCGCUGA
This 373-nucleotide unclassified non-coding RNA is filed under the name Inocybe sp. RNAcentral describes it as "partial contains 5.8S ribosomal RNA, internal transcribed spacer 2, and large subunit ribosomal RNA". The stretch from base 1 to 133 matches the Rfam family "5.8S ribosomal RNA", at positions 22 to 154 of the family's 154-position model. The record is from RNAcentral. Lineage: Eukaryota; Fungi; Basidiomycota; Agaricomycetes; Agaricales; Inocybaceae. RNAcentral also lists the same sequence under 1 other name.